AUCAGAAAUCUAAAGGAGUUCGGUGCUACAGAAACUAAAGAAAUAUUUAAGAAGCGAAAGAGAGCAAUAACAAAAGGUGGAAGCGAAAGUCGAAGCCUGAUGUGGAAAGCUUCUUGGUAUAAACAGAAGCAGCCGGGGGGAGGGGCGCUAGCUCGGUCAGUUGGCUCAGGAAGCUUCAGCUCGUACUCCGGAGGAAUCUCGUACUGAAUCCUAAUCAGUGAGAGUUCCUCCAGAGUCAGAGAGCUGGGGAUAGUAUCUGGUACA
RNAcentral lists this long non-coding RNA (264 nucleotides) under Elaeis guineensis (African oil palm). Its description in RNAcentral is "long non-coding RNA (EGUI_LNC008667)". The record is from RNAcentral. Lineage: Eukaryota; Viridiplantae; Streptophyta; Magnoliopsida; Arecales; Arecaceae.